UGCCAUUCCUCUGUAUCUGUCGACGAUCUUGACACUUCUGGGACGACUGGCGAGGACGCGCUCCCGUGCCACCUUCAGUUCCAGUAGCUGUAGUUUCCUCCGCAAUGUCCUGUUUUCUUUCUGGCUUUGUGUUAUUUCCAAACGAAACACUGCAUAGUCGUCGUCUACGAGUUUACAGAUCUCUGCCACGGCUGCAUUCGCCAGCACCUCCAUGAUGGAGGCUAUUUGAGUGUGAAAAACCAUACAUUUAUCCAUUGUUCGCUAGCCAACGUUAGCAGUUACCGAGAACAAUUAUCAACCAAGUCCCGUCUCCAACGUGAAUUAAACACUACCUGGUGAACAGGAGGGUCUCUCUCUAUCAGCCUCAGGCCCUGCUUCAUCACUGCACUGAGACUGUGAAGAGAAGGGUCUGGGCUGCAGACUGGAUCCCUGACUGGAGCCUCUGUCUCUCUGAUGUCCACCUGUCCACUGGUUGUGUUCUAUGUGGUGGUGGAGUCUCUGUCCCUCGCGGUUCAGACACGGAAACGAAAAGGGACGGCUCCUGAUCCGGGGCCAGUGUUUAUGAUCAGCCGCUUCAGAGGUCCAGUCUCUCCCGCCAUCAACACUGGAUAUCAUGCGUGCAGGUGAAUGGCCUCUAUCCCGUGUGGACCUUCAGGUGCAUCUUCAGCUGGUGCAGGUGGAAGAACACCCUUUCACACCGGGGGCAGCUGUAGGAUUUCUCCCGUGUGAACCCUCUGGUGUCUCUUCAGAUUGAACGAGUGGGAGAAACUAGCCUGGCACAGGUGGCAGCCAAACUGUUACUCCCCCAUGUGCAUCCUCUGGUUGAUCUCCAUGUGUUUGGGAAAACUGAAAGCUUUUCCACAGAAUGAACACGAGAGUCGCUUCUCUUGUGUGUGUUGUAGGGUCCAUGUUCCAGUUGAUAGAUUCUAUAGAAGGCAGGCUGAAGGCAGCACCUGUUAGGGGGUUAACCUGAGGCCCCAUCAGUCUCUCUGAAUCACAACUAUAGGAGCAGGACGGAGCACCACUAGCAGAGAGGCGACUACAGGAUGCUGGCCCUCUAGGCAGAGUUGCAAAGAAAAAGCCAUAUCUUAGACUGGCCAAUAAAAAGAAAAGAUUAAGAUGGGCAAAAGAACACAGACACUGGACAGAGGAACUCUGCCUAGAAGGCCAACAUCCU
Molecule: long non-coding RNA, 1177 nt
Organism: Salmo salar (Atlantic salmon)
Lineage: Eukaryota; Metazoa; Chordata; Actinopteri; Salmoniformes; Salmonidae
Source: RefSeq, a predicted model, not a curated record